UGGGGAAUUUUGGACAAUGGGCGAAAGCCUGAUCCAGCAAUGCCGCGUGUGUGAAGAAGGCCUUCGGGUUGUAAAGCACUUUUGUCCGGAAAGAAAUCCUUGGCUCUAAUACAGUCGGGGGAUGACGGUACCGGAAGAAUAAGCACCGGCUAACUACGUGCCAGCAGCCGCGGUAAUACGUAGGGUGCAAGCGUUAAUCGGAAUUACUGGGCGUAAAGCGUGCGCAGGCGGUUUGCUAAGACCGAUGUGAAAUCCCCGGGCUCAACCUGGGAACUGCAUUGGUGACUGGCAGGCUAGAGUAUGGCAGAGGGGGGUAGAAUUCCACGUGUAGCAGUGAAAUGCGUAGAGAUGUGGAGGAAUACCGAUGGCGAAGGCAGCCCCCUGGGCCAAUACUGACGCUCAUGCACGAAAGCGUGGGGAGCAAACAGGAUUAGAUACCCUGGUAGUCCACGCCCUAAACGAUGUCAACUAGUUGUUGGGGAUUCAUUUCCUUAGUAACGUAGCUAACGCGUGAAGUUGACCGCCUGGGGAGUACGGUCGCAAGAUUAAAACUCAAAUGAAUUGACGA
RNAcentral lists this ribosomal RNA (568 nucleotides) under uncultured bacterium. Its description in RNAcentral is "partial 16S ribosomal RNA". It matches the Rfam family "Bacterial small subunit ribosomal RNA", at positions 355 to 916 of the family's 1533-position model. The record is from RNAcentral.